UACUUGCAAGACGAGCAUACAAACAGACACGUGUGUGUUACUACGUUCAGAAGAACUGUAUCUCCAGUUCCUUUGUUUGGUUUUUGCUGCUUCGUGAAUAAUGGCUGGACGACGUCUCGCGUUCAACUCGCCUUCAACUCCUCUCCGCGGUCACCAACUUUCGCCCAGUCCGCAGACAGACGAGAAGAAGCUGCUGAAUGCUCUCCGUGGAUCGUCUCGUCAACUCCAACAACAAACUGCCGAUAUCAACGAGCGGUUGGGGACUCUGCGGGUUUCUGUCCAUGGAGGAGAGGAACCGACUCAAAGAAGAGGAGACGGGCGCACAAUCCCAAGAUAGCGGAAGCGGUGCGCCGUCUUCACAACUCCGAGACGAACUACUGGCGCUACGAACCGGAGCAAGGACUAAUCUCGCCUCAUAAUGAGGUGGUGACCUCGUAUUUGCUCCGGGAAAAGUCCAGAUUUAGACGACGUCAUUGUGUGUAAGUGACACUGUUUCUCCUUCCUUGUUAACUGUUACUGUGACUUGCGUUUGAUUGCGUUGAUCAGCCGGACACUCAUUGCGGGCGGAAGCUGCGAAGGAUUCAGCGCGGAGUCGAGCGAGAAGAAAGAGGGUCAGAGUUUAUUUGCUGACUUGUUUCAGGUGCAUUGAUAGAUGUGUUGUGUCCGUACGCAUCGCAUCGCACGGUACUGAUUCAUUGUUGUUUUUACAGCUGCUGGAAUCAAGACAAAGUGUGCUGGCUGAUGACGAGGUGGAACUCUGGAAAUCCGCCACCGUGGAGCUCACGUCGGGGUGGAUUGUACGGUCGCCACACACACACACGAGGCGCCUGCACAACAGACCUGCCUCGGAAAACACGGCGCCAGUGACGGUCUACAACCCCGAGGAGGCAAACGCACAGUUUACUGAGCUGUAGUUUUUUUAAACCGCCGUUACCCAAGUGUGGGCAGAUCCUCACUUUGUAUGUAGUUGUUGUUUGUGUGUUGUUAAUAAAGCUCUUUCUUUGCAUAAACAUGUGUCAAAUGUUCAUUUUCUCUAUAAAUUCAUUGAUGUCCUGGUUGGU
Molecule: long non-coding RNA, 1061 nt
Organism: Gasterosteus aculeatus aculeatus (three-spined stickleback)
Lineage: Eukaryota; Metazoa; Chordata; Actinopteri; Perciformes; Gasterosteidae
Source: Ensembl